UGGUAUGUACUAGCUUGCUGAUUCCUCCUUCUUGUAGAACCGUAAUGCCAUUAAUUUGGUGUUGCGGGGAAACAGGACUGUUACUUUGAAAAAAUUAGAGUGUUUAAAGCAGGCUAGCGCCUGAAUACAUUAGCAUGGAAUAAUGAAAUAGGACGUUCGAACCUAUUUUGUUGGUUUCUAGGAUUGACGUAAUGAUUAAUAGGGAUAGAUGGGGGCAUUAGUAUUCAAUUGUCAGAGGUGAAAUUCUUGGAUUUAUUGAAGACUGACUACUGCGAAAGCAUUUGCCAAGGAUGUUUUCAUUAAUCAAGAACGAAAGUUAGGGGAUCGAAGACGAUCAGAUACCGUCGUAGUCUUAACCAUAAACUAUGCCGACUAGGGAUCGGAUGAUGUUAAUUUUUUAAUGACUCAUUCGGCGCCUUACG
This 422-nucleotide ribosomal RNA is filed under the name uncultured Glomeromycotina. RNAcentral's name for it is "SSU rRNA". It matches the Rfam family "Eukaryotic small subunit ribosomal RNA", at positions 669 to 1092 of the family's 1831-position model. Lineage: Eukaryota; Fungi; Glomeromycota. The record is from RNAcentral.